Molecule: long non-coding RNA, 6518 nt
Organism: Nymphaea colorata (pocket water lily)
Lineage: Eukaryota; Viridiplantae; Streptophyta; Magnoliopsida; Nymphaeales; Nymphaeaceae
Exons: 4
Source: RefSeq, a predicted model, not a curated record
UGAGAUGCGUCCAAGGCCUAAGCGGGUCUUACCUUGACUCUACCCCUACAUAUUAACAUCUCAAAUAGUAUAUAAAGAAAAACACCUCUUAUAUCUAUCUGAUUACUUGUUCAUUUUUUGGUUGUUUUGUAUCUGAUUUAACUUAUUGAACAUUGUUUGCAUUAGGGUGUAUAAAGAUAUUUGAUGCCCAACAUCUUAGUCUCUUGUCCUUUCAUAGCGUUAGCAUCAGCGCCCGAGAUACAUGUUUCAUUGUAAGGAUUGAAAGUUGUAUAUAUAUAGGUUGGUGAUUGAAUGUCUUUCUACCAAAAAAUUACCGGGAGAUACAUAUAGAUUGGUGUGCACAUCAAGAGUUUCAUUGUAAGGAUUUAGAGUUAUAUAUAUAGGGUAGUGACUGAAUGCCUUUCAACCAAUAAAUUAUGGGGAGAUACAUAAAGGUUGGUGUGGGCCUCAAAAGCUUCAUUAUAAGGACUGAGAGUUAUAUAUAUAGGUAAGCGAUCGAACAUCUUUCUACCAAAAUAUUAUGGGGAGAUACAUAGAGGUUGGUGUGGGCCUCAAAUGUUUCAUUGUAAGGAUUGAUAGUUAUAUAUAUAUAGGCAAGUGAUCGAAUGUCUUUCUACCAAAAAUUUAUGGGGAGACACAUAGAGGUUUGUGUGCGUCUCAAAAGUUUCAUUAUAAGGAUUGAUGGUUAUAUAUAUAGGUUAGUGAUUGAAUGCCUUUCAACCAAUAAAUUAUGGGGAGAUACAUAGAGGUUGGUGUGGGCCUCAAAAGUUUGAUUAUAAGGAUUGAAUGUUAUAUAUAUAGAUUGGUGAUUGAAUGUCUUUCAACCAAUAAGUUAUGGGGAGCUACACAGAGGGUGGUGUGGGCCUCAAAAGAUUCAUUAUAUGGAUUGAAAGUUAUAUAUAUAUAGAUUGGUGAUUGAAUGUCUUUCAACCAAUAAAUUCUGGCUCCGCCACUUUUUAGCAUCAGUUCAUAGAGUGAUUUUCCUCAAUGCAUGACUCAGUAAUUGGACCGAAAUCAAUUACGUUGAGACUAUCUCGAAACACCAAAUUCAACUGUUUCAUAUCGAACUAUUAGCUUGAACGCGCAGAACAUAACGUUCCACGGAACAGUGGCAAACAAGGGACUGCGUGGGAAAAUAUAGAUUGUUCUUGAAAUGAACCCAUGUCGUUUGCUUCAUACGUUCCGUAUGGACCAUCUCUUACCACGGGAAACAAGAAACAUAUCGGACAGUUUAAAGGAGAUGGCACCGAUCAAACCACCUCUUAACUAUAUUAAGCGGACGUUUGAAUGCUUUGGUGCGAUGGACGUAAAAGGCGCAGUAACGUGGAGUGUGACCACGAAAUGGGGUAACUAUAUUAAACACUGUAAAAUUUAUAGUUGAGAAAAUUCGUGGGCUCCAUUCGGCAUGUGGUUGGGUCAUUGGGUCAGUGAGUUGACUUGUUGACUUGAUCGAGUAUUCAAAUAACCAUAAUUGCAGAUGAAUCGGGCGAGUCAUAAGCAAUUUGGGCCAAAUCUUGACUCUUACUAAAUUUGUUGGCGAUCCGAGCAUUCUCGAAACAGCCCGGCGAGUUUGCCAAUUGUGGUAAAAUUGAAAAGAAUGCGACUACAGUAAAAAAAAACAAAAAAAGUGAUUAGACAUGAAAUCCCUGAUAACUAAAUAGUUAUCUUUUGAAUUUAAGAUUGGACGGAAUGUUUGAUUGCUUGGGAUAUCCAACAAGCGUUUCUGUUUAUUUGACAUUUAAUGGUUGGUCCCUUGUGAACGUCACGUAACCUUUCGAGUCACAUGGACUCUGAUUUUAUCCCCACAUUGAGUUCGGGCUCCCGGUUUGGUGCACAUCAAUUUAGUCAUAGCGGUUUUGGUUUCCAUCGAAAACCUUGAGAACUAAAUGAAACAAUCGUUUAACCAACACCUACGUAAACCUUCAGAAAAUUCUUAGAUAUCGGAUCAAACUUUUUUAUAACAAGCCAUUACUUAUUCCGCCUAUUGACAAACGGACAGAGUCGACACUUGAUCUAAAACAGUUUACUAUUCGAUCACAUGGUCUUGCAAGUAAAGCUAAUUCAAUCAUCGUUUUAUUUCAGGAGUCGCUCGGCAAUAAAACAGUGUAUCCAAACUGUUGCAUGACUAAAGGUUGAGACUGAUUGAUGGAACAUUUCCAUUACAAUAUUUCAUGAAUCUGUCCAAGUUUAUAAUGCAGCUUAAACGGAACAGUUUGAUAAUCAUGCUAGGCUUCGCAUGAACCGUAUGAAAUAGUUUCAUGUGAUGCAAACGGAUCAACUAGGUUCACCAAGAGUACGAUUUGGAUCAAAUCCGGUCAAAACUUUCAAAACCUCCGACAAGAUCUUUCCCCGUAAUGCCAAAGCGUUAAGUUGCAUUUGAUAGUUUCAAAUCUUAAACUCAAAGCUGCUUUGAGAUCGAAAACUGAUCUCAGUUCUAUAAUGAAACAAACGCAAUCUUAUAUUUUCGUUAAUCUAUUUCUGUUAAUUUUCUAAAUUUUAUGUUUAAUUAAUCUUAAAAAACAAAUUGAUUAGUAUUUGAACUUUAAAAACCAUGGUUUCAACUUUAAAUUCGUCGGCAACUUCGGCAUUCCCUCCUCUGGCGCGUUCCCUCGCUUUUUUCUGCAUUCGUUCCCGCGUGCUUUCUUUUCUUUCCCCGCUUCCUCCCUUUUUUCACUUUGCCGUGACGUCGACGGCUUGUAGGGUACACCAGCCGGAAGUAGGAUCGAAGGGAAGGCCUUCCUGAACCGACGAGGGCUAAGUGAGUAAGUGGUUGUCCGGCAAGCUCCGUCCUACAUAGAGGAUUAUUGCUAGCGGUCCCUGAAGGUUGAUUAUCGGGGAUCGGCAGCAAAGAGGCUGGUAGGUCGCCGUCGUCAUGUGGCCACGAUGAUCCAAGAACCGGUGAUCUUUGUGAAUCCAUCUGUUUGCUUUGAGUCCUGUGUUUUUCCGAGAAAGGUUAACAUUGUUUGUUGUUUUGCGUUUUUAGUUAUGCAUCGGAUUUUUUACAAUUAAACCGUCGAUUUUUCUUUUCCCAUUCGUACCUGCCAACGAUUAUUUUUGGUUUCUAGAUGUAGUAUGUACGGAUUUUAGUUUGGGUUUUACAUGAAUUAUUGUCUGUUAGGGCAUUGAUGAGUGGGACCUUCUAUUCUUUCGUUUUUUUGGUCUCUUUGCCUACUUUAACCCAGUAUCGGUAGGAACUUGAGCGCGUUCGGGGAAUUAGAGAAUUGAUUUUGUUUUUUAGAUCCCGUUUUAUUCGGGCAUCAAGGUGGAUUCGGGUUCUUCUGCUGUUUGGUUAACUGUGCUGCCUUUGGCUGCGUUCCUCAGCUUGUUUGUUACCCUAGAUGCUCUCUGUAGUGGAUUCUUUCGUUUAUUUUUUGCGUCGGUUGCAUAUAAUUUGCUAAAAGUACUUCCAUCACUGGCAACGCUGCAGAUGUAAGCAGAAAAAUGCUCUCCCACUAUUGACCUUCAGUCUUGUUCAGUUUUUUUAGCGUUUCACAUACGACUGAAUAAUUUAAAAGAAAAGUGUUGAACGUUAUAAAAUGCUUCAUGUGCACGGGCACACUCAUAUGGAUGCAGGUAUUAGUUCUAUGUAUAUUUUCAAGUUUGAAAUUGCGGGUACCUGAUUGAACUCAUGACAGAUUGCCAUAUGAAUCGGUUAAAUGUGAUUAUCCUACCAGAAUAACAGUUAUGGCCGUCCUGCUUUUCCAACUUGUUAGAAACUUGUUUCUUUGAUUUUUCAACUGAAGCAACAUUAUCUUGUCCAAAAUCAAGAUUAUCCAUGAGUUGCUCCUGAUCAAACUUUUGACAACUCUUUUUCAUCUAGCUACAGGAAUGGAGUAGCACAAGAAAUUGGCUAUAAUUAUGCUGUAGUUCAUAUUUGUCGAGCAGGUAUUGCUGGAAGCAAUCUAUGCUUUUUCCUGUCUUGUGCUUUUGCGAUUUGAAGUCAUUUUCUAUAAGAUUAUUUCUCCAAUUGGGUUUUCAAUGCGUUCAACUCAAGAAGGUGUGAAGAGCUGUUGGCACUUAGCAGUUCGUUGUUUACAACACUGUCUCAUCCUUGUUUAAGAUGCUCUACUUUAAUAUGGCAAUCUAUGAAAGACCCUUUUUUCAGUUCGUAACUGGUGGGACAAGUGUUGGAUGCAUUGUUCAAGUUCAAGCUUGGUUGAAAUAGAUUCUUGUUAUUUUUUAUCGCUUCUUGUUGCUGGAAUAGAUUGUACUUUGUUUAUCGUAACUGUUGCACUAAAAUGAAGUCUUUCAUUUGGUUCUUUAAGUUUUAAUAACCUAUCAAUCUUGCCUUUCUUAUUCAUGAGGGAAGGAGGUGGAUGAUCCUUCUCCUCAUUUAUUUGAAAGGAGUUGCCAUGAAAAUGGUAAUUUCCUCACGAGUGAGGAAAAGGGAAGAUGGUAGGAAACAACUCCCUCUUUCUCCUUAUUAUAAAUAAAGGGAUUGAAAGAGGAAAAAAAAAAGACAACAUCCUUCAGCCAAAAUGUCCCUAAACAAUCUCUCAAACUUGGUAUUUCCAAAUUCCAAUGAUAGAAAGUUGUUGUCGCCCUUGCGAUCAAAAGGCACAUCAUGCCACAUUUGAGUUGUUUGUGUUAACAUCUAUGUGACCACCACCGACUCAUCAAGCCACCAAAUUGACUUGCUUUUGUGGGGACAUAAAGGUCAGACCACUUUUAAUAUUUGAUUUGGUGAAGACCAUCAUUGGUGCAAGAAGCAGAUUGCUUGCAAUUUGAUGUACUUGGUCAAACCCAAAUGCAAUUGGUGGAAUCUUGGGUGAGCCCAUGUUCAAUGGCCCAAUCUAUGUUGUUAAUCAGAGGCUGCGGCACAUAGGUGCUGAUAUCGCAAGAUGGGGAUCGUGACUCUUUGCAUUGAGCCUUAAGGGGGGAGCAGCGGUGGAGCUCAUCCAACGGCCGGACGACCACUGGAGUGCCGAGAGCAAGAAAAAGAGAGGUUUUGAAUCCCUCUUUUUCUGAACCUGGCCAGAUGGACCCUCCGCGACGGGAUGGUUUUAAUUCUGUAAAAAUUGAGAAAGAGUUUCUUCUGUGGUGGCGUUUAAUUGAAGUUCUGAGUUGAAGCUCAGAAAUAUCACAUCCAUCGAAUUAACAACAUGAACUUGGCGCUGGCCGAGGGUUCAUGUUUGGUUUUUCGGCAAGCCCUUUGCCUCUUCUUGUAGAUGGCUAGAGAGAGAGAGGGUGGACGGCGGUGGGCUUGCCGGCACCUCUUAUUGCCAACUUUCGGUCUUCCUGCCAUCGCCUCUCCUGUAGAGCUGAGAUCGAAAGUGAAUCUGAAAUCCAUGGAUGUUAAAAUCGCUGUUUGAUAAUACAAUGGUAAAAAUCCAUCCUAAUCCACGAAAAGUUUUUUUCAUAAAAAAAAAAUCCAUCCUAAAAAUCCACGAAAUCUUUUCAUUGACUAAAAAUCCAUACAAAAGAUCCACCAAAAGUUUUUUUCCAUAAAAAAAUUUCAUCCUAAAAAUCCACGAAAAUUUUUCCUUGUAAAAAAUCCAUCCUAAAAGAUCCACGAAAAAUUUGUUCCAUGAAAAAAUUUCCAUCCUAAAAGAUCGUUUAUUUUUCUGAGUCACUCUAAAAGAUAUCCACGAAAUAUUAGUCAGGGUAAAAAAAAUCCGUGGAUGUAUCAAACGUCCUAGCCAUCGCCUCUCCCGUAAAGCUGAGAUGCAAAGUGGAUCUGCAAUCCAUGGAUGUUAACAUCGCUGUUUGAUAAUACAAUGGAUCUCUCUCUCAAUUAGAUCUGAGAUCCACGGCUAUGAAACCCGCCUUUCAAUAAGCCAAGCUUUUGUUUUAUCGUCCGAAAUGUGCGAGAUGUGAAUGUCACAUUAACAACAACGCUGCUUCGAUGAAGUCUACAAACGAAAUUAAAUCCAAAUUUCAAACGAUCGGUGGAGCGCGCCAACAAAGGAAACUUAAUAAACACUUAAUAGGAAAGUAACCUUCUUAUGUAGUCACUGAUGAGUGAGGUCGUCCAUAAAAACGUAACCGUCGGUUUCUUCCCUUUCCCGCUUUCGCGCGCUUUCAGCCCUCAACCGCGACCAUCGCUCGCUCUCCCGCCGGCGCUCUCCACCACCACCGCUGCUCUCUCUCCAGUCCACGAUCUCCACCACCACCGCUCCUCGCUCUCCAGUCCGCGAUCUCCACCACCAUCGCUCCUCGCUCUCCAGUCCGCGAUCUCCACCACCAUCACCGUGUCCCGAAGAGAACUCCAGAGCAAGGGGGCGCUGUCAUAGAAGAAAGAGGAAGAAGGAGAAAGAACAUGGUCAUUGAUUCUUUUGAGUCUUUGUGGAUGUUGAGCUUCUUGUGAUAGCGGCACAUGUAGGGAUCAUGUGACCCUAGACACCUUACCGGAUCACUCUCUCCAUCUACCUCACCGCCCGUCGGAUUAUUAGAUCGAUCAUCGUGCCUCCCGCCUGCCUACCGUUUGGACCUCAUAUCUGAUCAACUUUGCUCUCCUGUCCAUCGUUGUUCUAUCUGACGCUUUCUGAAGUUUCAAUACUUUGAACAAACAUGAUACU